RNAcentral lists this ribosomal RNA (484 nucleotides) under uncultured bacterium. Its description in RNAcentral is "partial 16S ribosomal RNA". It matches the Rfam family "Bacterial small subunit ribosomal RNA", at positions 29 to 507 of the family's 1533-position model. The record is from RNAcentral.
AUUGAACGCUGGCGGCAUGCUUUACACAUGCAAGUCGAACGGCAGCGCGGGCUUCGGCCUGGCGGCGAGUGGCGAACGGGUGAGUAAUGCAUCGGAACGUGCCCAGUAGUGGGGGAUAGCCCGGCGAAAGCCGGAUUAAUACCGCAUACGACCUGAGGGUGAAAGCGGGGGACCGAAAGGCCUCGCGCUAUUGGAGCGGCCGAUGUCGGAUUAGCUAGUUGGUGGGGUAAAGGCUUACCAAGGCAACGAUCCGUAGCUGGUCUGAGAGGACGACCAGCCACACUGGGACUGAGACACGGCCCAGACUCCUACGGGAGGCAGCAGUGGGGAAUUUUGGACAAUGGGGGCAACCCUGAUCCAGCCAUGCCGCGUGCGGGAAGAAGGCCUUCGGGUUGUAAACCGCUUUUGUUCGGGAAGAAAUCCUCUGGGCUAAUACCCCGGGGGGAUGACGGUACCGGAAGAAUAAGCACCGGCUAACUACGUG